Molecule: unclassified non-coding RNA, 2005 nt
Filed under: Hevea brasiliensis (rubber tree)
Lineage: Eukaryota; Viridiplantae; Streptophyta; Magnoliopsida; Malpighiales; Euphorbiaceae
Source: RNAcentral
AGUUUUUUAAACUUUGCUCCCAAAAUGUUCUUCAAUGUCUGGUCACAGUUAUGAUCACCAUAUUGGAUUUGUGCUCAGCACAGACCUUAGACUAUCUAGUCUAGACACAGUUUCCAUAGUUUCACCGACAGACAUUUCUAGAACUUAGUCAGAGCUGAGUUUAUGUAUACAUGAAUGAAGCCUGCAGGUACUAACCCAAGUGGACAAAUAUGCAUGUGUUUAGUGUUGAUGACAAUUAUUACCUAUUGAAUGAUGAGUUGUUGAUUGCACAUUAGAAUCAUUAGCUGCCUUAUGUCCACAAUGGUGCCUGCAUGAAUACAGACAGCUCUAUACACAAGAGGGACGGUAAGUAAGUCAAAAUAGAGGGUUACCUAUCAGAGCUCGGAUGAGAGACAAACUACAUGGAGCCUUUCAUAUAUUCAUGAGCUCAUUGACACGCCAAAUAUGCAAUAACAAUUAACACUAGAGCCAUCUGAAUAACCAAAUGAAAAAGAUUCUGUUUUAUCAUCUGAAUGACCAAAAGAUAAAAGGAACUAAACCAACCAUGGUCAGCAACUCAUUCCGCAAUCCGGAAUUAAUAAAAUUUGUUACCUCACUCAAGGAAUAACCAUCCAACGAUCUCCCUCUAGCAGCAUUAUCCAUGCAUAACUAAUGAAUCUGUUUUUUUAACUUCAUGAGAAUAGGUGACCCCAGAUGAGCGGGGAUCAGAACCCUCUCUUCAAAUUUUCAAAGUUCAGACAUCUACGUUUUAUAAUCCUCUAGUACUUGUGAACUGGACUCCUGGACCUCUUGGAACCAUGUCUAAUAGGAGACCGUGACCGGCUUCUAUCACGUCCCCGGUAUCUCUCCCUGCUUCUGUUUCUCCCAUUCCUGGAACUCCCAUGUUUCCAACCUGAUCCCCUAUCAAAAUCACGCCCUCCUCUGCCAUUUCUGUCAAGGUCGCGAUCUCUUCCCCGGUAGCGAUCCCGUUCCCUGUCAUGAUCUUGAUCUCUGUGCUUGUCCCUGUCAGAUGACUCACUUCUUCGUCGUCUGCUAUCAUGUUCUUUCUCCCUCAACUUUUUCCUUUCUUCUGCUUCUUUCUCCCUGGCUAACCUUUCCUCUUCCCAAGCCUUCUCUUUAGCAGCCUUGUACUCAGCUAAGAAAUCUCGAACCAUCCCAUAACCAACAUGCUGUUUACCAGUGACGUGAGACUGAGUUCUCUCUGCAGCAUCAUUUGCAACAAGAAAGGAACCACAUGUCUCGCACAGAGCCAUCUUUUUCUCUUGUACAAUCAUUAGUGCACUGUUCUGCUGGGAUUGCUGAGUCAAGGUAGUCUUUUCAACAUUAAGCAUUUCCACCUUUCUCAUCAGAGCUUCAGCUUCAUCAACUUUUCCAGCUUCACCAAGAGACUCCACUUGUUCUAGCAAGUUCUUAAUCUUCUCCUCCAAGACAGACAGCUGCUCAGAUUUUUCUGCUGAUAUUGGAGGAGGUGGGGGAACGUCAACCUCCUGAGCAAGGCGUUCUCGACCACGCCUCACUUUCUUAUCCAAGUCCAUCACCAAUUUCUCACAAAAAUGGGCUAGUUCUGCUUCAAACUUGGGAACAUAAGAAUCAUGUCUUGGAGAUUUCUCAAAACUUUCCUUCAACUUCGCUUCAUGAAUUUUCGAGCAGGGUCCCAAAUCACUACGAGUAUUCACGAACAGAUCGUGAGGGCAAAAUCGAACCAUAUAGAAUGCACAGACUUCCUUGUCAUCCCAUUUCACUUCCUUGAACCCUCUCCUCUCGUCUUCAGUUAAAUUCCGAGCUGAGCCCAUCAGUUCAUCCAACAAAGCUCUCUGAGCGUCCAUGGCUGAAAAACCUGCAAAAUCUUGGGGCUAACUGCAAUCAAUUGAAAGACUUUAAAUCAACUGGAUGUGAUUCUUCUUCGUUUAUAGGUUGGGAGUAUAAAUUAGGGUUUCAGAGUAGAAAUUGAUGACAAGUCGGAGCCAACAGAGGACAAAGGUAAUGUUUCUCCGAGGAGGGCCUU